GGUGUUAUAGUAUAGUGGUUAGUACGACACGUUGUGGAUAUACAAUUGUAUACAGCAGAGCCGUGUAGACCCAGGUUCGAUUCCUGGUAACGCCA
Molecule: non-coding RNA, 95 nt
Organism: Xylaria sp. FL0933
Lineage: Eukaryota; Fungi; Ascomycota; Sordariomycetes; Xylariales; Xylariaceae
Source: the annotation of a GenBank genome assembly